RNAcentral lists this long non-coding RNA (5369 nucleotides) under Brassica rapa (field mustard). RNAcentral's name for it is "long non-coding RNA (BRAP_LNC007290)". Lineage: Eukaryota; Viridiplantae; Streptophyta; Magnoliopsida; Brassicales; Brassicaceae. The record is from RNAcentral.
CUGAGUUCUGUAGAUAAGCAUGUAUCCAAUCCAGUUUAUAUUAUUAGGUUACACAUAAUUAUAAUCAUUAUUUUCAUUCCCACAGACCACAGUGUAAACAUAUUACAACCUUUAAAAUUUCAAGUCAAUGAGGCUUGAAUCAAGUUAAUGGUGAUGAUUACUACUUAAGUAUCGUAAGAAAGGAAACAAAGGGCUAAUUCCAAACGCGCGAGAGAAUCACCUGCGCCAGAUGCAUGGGAGAGCGUGAGAGAGAUGGGAGACCCACAAAAGCCCCGUAAAAAGGGAAAAGAGAAAAGGAAAGCACAUGUAGUCACAUGAGUUUCUAAAUCUAUCUAUCAUCUCCAUGUGCCUCCUCUUUGCUUUCCCUCUCUCUCUCUCUACACACACACACACACACACACACACACACCAAAACCUACACACACAGCCUAUACAUAGAAUUAAGAAGAGGAAAUGAAUAGAUUAAAUAGAUAUAUACAGUCGCGGAGGGUGAAGCUAUGUGGUGGUGGUACUACGAUGAUCUACUACUUGCACAUGAUUUCUUCUUUCUAGUAUGGAAGCCUCGUUACAUCUUUUUACGGAACCUACCUUUCGGAAUCCUUAAAAUCCUUCUCAUUUUUGUCAACUCUUUGUUAAUUAUUCAAGAAAUUCUAAUCAAGGGAGUAUUAUAGAUUAAUUUUACGUAUAUAAUAAAGUAUACAAAAUUAAAUAAGAAGGAUAAACGUCAUCCUCAUAUCGGCAUUAAUCUUUGCAUAUAACACACUCGAAUUCAUAAUGUUCCUUGUUUUAACUACUGAUUAAUUUGUUGCCGAUCUUCACCAUGAUAAAUAAUUAGCUCUAAUUUGUGUAAUCUUCAAUUAUUAAAUCUGAACUGGACUUUGUAUUAUUUUCAUUAUUUUCUUUAGCAUUUAAAUUUGAAAAUUUGUUAUAUAACUUUUUUAGAGCAUUAAUCUCUACUAAUAAAAGGGACCUUUUGAGGCUCCAUAGAGCGUCCACAUCAGCAAAAAAAACUUCUCUCGAAAGAUGACACGUGGCAUAAAAUAUAGUUUUACAUUUUAAUAUUACAAAUUUUUGAAAAUUAUAAAUAAUAUGUAAACAUACAACACAAAAAAUAGAAAAACUACAUUAAACAUAUGUAAGAUUACCAUUUUUCACUUAAAAAAAAGACGGAUUAUCUCCAUAAUAUAACAUUACCGUUUUAUAAAAAAAAACAAAAAACAUUAUAUAUAAUUUCAAAAAUAAUAAAUAUAUGUAAACAUACAACAUAAAAAAAUAGAAAUACCACAUUAAACAUAUAUAAGAUUACCAUUUUACAUUUUUAUUUAAAAAUAAUAAUAUGUAAACAUACAACAUAAAAAAUGGAAAAAACUACAUUAAUUAAACAUAUGUAAGAUUACCAUUUUUCACUAAAAAAACGGAUUAUCUCCAUAAUGUAAUAUUACUAUUUUCUAAAAAAACAUUAUAUAUAAUUUCGAAAAUAAUAAAUAAUAUGUAAACAUACAACAUAAAAAAUCGAAAUACUACAUUAAACAUAUGUAAGAUUACCAUUUUACAUUUAAAAAUAACAAUAAUAUGUAAACACACAACAUAAAAAAAAAUAGAAAAACUACAUUAAACAUAUGUAAGCUUACAAUUUUCACUAAAAAAACGGCUUAUCUCCAUAAUGUAACAUUACCAUUAUAUAAAAAAAAAAAAAAAACAUAAAUAUAACUAUUUGACUAUUUGUCCAAGUUCUUCUAUUAAACAUUGCCGCUUUACACUAAAAAUGGAAAAAUACAUUAAGAUUUAACCAUCUAUCUUAAAAUAUAAAAUAUAUAAAUUAACUAAAUAUAAAGUAUAAGAAAGAGAAAUACUCAAUAUAUAGAAAAAUAAAUAAUAAGUAAAUAUUAUAAAUAUACAAAUUAUAUAUACAAUAAUAAGUAAAUGCACAAUUUAUAAAAAAUGGAAAGAGUAUAUUAAAUAUUAAACAUCUAUCUUAAAAUGCAAAAUAUAGAUAUUAAGUAAAUAGAAAGUAUAAGAAAAAGAAAUACACAACUUAAAAACAAUGGAAAAAGUAUAUUAAGAUUUAAGCAUCCAUCUUAAAAUGUAAAAUAUAGAUAUUACGCAAAUAGAAAGUAAAAGAAAAGGAAAUACACAAUUUAAAAAAUGGACAAAGUACAUUAGUAUUUAAACAUCUAUCUUAAAAUGUAAUCUAUACUAAUAAAAAGGAUCUUUUGAGGCUCCAUAGAGCGUCCACAUCAGCAAAAAUAACUUAUCCCGAAGGAUGACACGUGACAUAAAAUAUAGUUUUUACAUUUUAAUAUUACUAAUUUUUAAAAAUUAUAAAUAAUAUGUAAACAUACAGCAUAAAAAUAGAAAACUACAUUAAACAUAUGUAAGAUUAUCAUUUUUCACUUAAAAAAAAAAGAUGGUUUAUCUCCAUAAUGUAACAUUACCGUUUUAUAAAAAAAAACAAAAAACAUUGUAUAUAAUUUUGAAAAUAAUAAAUAUAUGUAAACAUACAACAUAAAAAAUGAAAAUACUACAUUAAACAUAUGUAAGAUUAACAUUUUACAUUUUUAUUUUUUUAAAAAUAAUAUGUAAACAUACAACAUAAAAAAUAAAAAUAAACUACAUUAAACAUAUGUAAGAUUACUAUUUUUCACUAAAAAAAAGACGGCUUAUCUCCAUAAUGUAACAUUACUAUUUUUUUAAAAAAAACAUUAUAUAUAAUUUCUAAAAUAAUAAAUAAUAUGUAAAAAUACAACAUAAAAAAUGAAAAUACUACAUUAAACAUAUGUAAGAUUACCAUUUUACAUUUAAAAUAACAAUAAUAUGUAAACAUACAACAUAAGAAAAAAUAGAAAAACUACAUUAAAUAUAUGUAAGAUUAUCAUUUUCACUAAAAAAACGGCUUAUCUCCAUAAUGUAACAUUACCAUUUUAUAAAAGAAGAAAAAAAACAUAAAUAUAACUAUUUGACUAUUUGUCCAAGUUCUUCUAUUAAACAUUGCCGUUUUACAUUAAAAAUAGAAAAAUACAUUAAGAUUUAAACAUCUUUCUUAAAAUAUAAAAUAUAGAUAUUAACUAAAUAUAAAGUAUAAGAAAGAGAUAUACUCAAUAUAUAGAAAAAUAAAUAAUAAGUAAAUAUUAUAAAUAUAUAAAUAUAUGAAUUAUAUAUACAAUAAUAAGUAAAUGCACAAUUUUUAAAAAAUGGAAAGAGUACAUUAAAUAUUAAGCAUCUAUCUUAAAAUGUAAAAUAUAGAUAUUAAGUAAAUAAAAAGUAUAAGAAAAAGAAAUACACAACUUAAAAACAAUGGAAAAAGUAUAUUAAGAUUUAAACAUCUAUCUUAAAAUGUAAAAUAUAGAUACUACGCAAAUAGAAAGUAUAAGAAAAGGAAAUACACAAUUUAAAAAAUGGAAAAAGUACAUUAGUAUUUAAACAUCUAUCUUAAAUUGUAAAUCUAUUUUAAAAUAUAAAAUUAUUAGUAAAUAUAAAGUAUAAGAAAUAGAAAUACACAAUAUAAAUAAAAAUAAGUAAUAAGUAAAUAUAUAAUAUAAGUAAAUACCCAGUUUAAAAAAUGAAAAAUUACAUUAAGAUUUAAAAAUAUAUCUUAAAAUUUAAAAUAUAGAUAUUACGUAAAUAGAAAGUAUAACAAAUGGAAAUAUACAAUUUAAAAAUAUGGAAAACGUACAUUAAGAUUUAAACAUUUAUCUUAAAAUGUAAAAUAGAGAUAUUAAUUAAAUAAAAAGUACAAGAAAUGAAAAUACAUAUACAGGAAAAUAAACAAUAAGUAAAUAAUGUAAAUAUAUAAUAUAUUAAUUAUAUAUAUAUAAUAAUAAGUAAAUACACAAUUUUUUUUUUAAAAUGAAAAAAUUCAUUAAGCAUUAAACAUCUAUCUUAAAAUGUAAAAUAUAUAAUAUAAGUAAAUACACAAUUAAAAAAAAAUGGAAAAAGUACAUUAAGAUUUAAAUAUCUAUUUUAAAAUAUAAAAUAUAGAUAUUACGUAAAUAAAAAAUAUAAGAAAUGGAAAUAAACAUUUUAAAAAAUGGAAAAAGUACAUUAAUAUUUAAACAUCUAACUUAAAAUGUACAUCUAUCUUAAAAUGGUAGUAAAUUAUAUAAAAAUGGAAAUACCACAUUAAACAAAAAAAUAAAAAAGUAUAGUUUUACAUCAAGAAAGUCCCUAUAAAACUCAUUAUUCCAUCAACAUCAACCUCACACUAUCAAAAAAAACUUCAAAGCAUUCGAGCAAAAAAAUGGUUCUGCCAUCGACUCUUGCCGUCCCAAAAACCUUUAAUGACCUUGAAAGAGGUUUUAUAUAACAACGAACUUUUUGUUAGGUGGAUUCAUUGUUGGAAAACCCGCAACUUCUAAAAACCAAACUUAUUCAUGGGAAUUGAAUUGCUUUUCAUAGACUCAAAGGUAUUCUUACAAAUUUAAAUUAAUCUAAUCUAUAAUUUUAUUGUUAAUAUUCAUACUAACUCUUUCAUGAUCAAACCAUUACAGUUAAUAACCAUUCAAGCGUUUAUCCCGAAACACUUCCUUUCUCGCUGAAUCAUGUAUUGGUUCAUAUUGGUUUAGUAUUGUUUUUGGUUUAUUAACCGGUUUAGGAUGGUCCUAUUGUAAAUAUAAUUUAAGUUGGCUUAGCAUAUAUUAUGUUUUAAAUAACUUAAAUUAAAUAAUAGUAAUAUUAGGCUUAAAAUAUAAUUUUAGAGAGUUUUCAAAUAUAUUUUACAGAACAUUAUAGGUGAUGAAUUUAAUUUAUUAAAUUCGUUUAUUACUUAAAACUAAGUUUUUUUAAAAAAACAUACUGAGUUAUAAAUAUCAAUGAUGGAUUGGUGAGUAUAACAUGAAGACAAAAAUAUAAAUAUUUGAUUUUCAAAAUAAGAAAUUCAGCUUUUAUUCAGUUAAUCAAUAUAUAAUAUCUUAAAUUUUUUUUUUAAAUAUACAUAAUUUAUAUAUAUAGAUUAAUCUUCCAAACUUAAACUAUUAUAUUAUAUAUGAAUAAUUUUUUUAAAUAAAAAUAAUUUCUGAUUUAAAAAAUAAAAAUAAAAACAACAAAUGGUUAUUUUCAAACAAUUGAUGUAAUUUACAUUAUACUAUCAUUUAACAAGUAUUAGAUACAUUUUGAUAUAUCAUUAUUUUCUAGAAAACAAUAAAUUGUUAAACAUCAAUAUCAUCUAGGUUAAGUAUACGAACAACACAAAUUCAAACAUCACAAAAAAUAUUUACAUAAACAUUAUAAUACAAUAAUUUAAUCAAAAAAUACAAUUCAAAAAAAUAUUAUUCAAAAUAAUAGUUAUAUACUUAAUAUUUGAAAAUCCAAGAUAUUUUUGCUAAAGUUGUACUUACCUGGCCAAGGAGAUCGACCAUCUUUUUACGGAUCGA